AUUGAACGCUGGCGGCAUGCCUUACACAUGCAAGUCGAACGGUAACAGGUCUUCGGAUGCUGACGAGUGGCGAACGGGUGCGUAAUACAUCGGAACGUGCCCGAUCGUGGGGGAUAACGAGGCGAAAGCUUUGCUAAUACCGCAUACGAUCUACGGAUGAAAGCGGGGGAUCUUCGGACCUCGCGCGGACGGAGCGGCCGAUGGCAGAUUAGGUAGUUGGUGGGAUAAAAGCUUACCAAGCCGACGAUCUGUAGCUGGUCUGAGAGGAUGAUCAGCCACACUGGGACUGAGACACGGCCCAGACUCCUACGGGAGGCAGCAGUGGGGAAUUUUGGACAAAGGGCGAAAGCCUGAUCCAGCCAUGCCGCGUGCAGGAUGAAGGCCUUCGGGUUGUAAACUGCUUUUGUACGGAACGAAAAGCCUCUUUCUAAUAAAGAGGGGUCAUGACGGUACCGUAAGAAUAAGCACCGGCUAACUACGUG
RNAcentral lists this ribosomal RNA (482 nucleotides) under uncultured bacterium. RNAcentral describes it as "partial 16S ribosomal RNA". It matches the Rfam family "Bacterial small subunit ribosomal RNA", at positions 30 to 507 of the family's 1533-position model. The record is from RNAcentral.